GCACAUGCGUAGACUGACCUACUCAGGCUUUGCCCAUUUUCCACUCGCUAGUUGUGUCGUUCUGCGCAUGUGUCUGCCAACGGCCCCCAUGGUGAGGGGGUCUCGUGCUCAAAUACCGGGCGGGCGGCGAGUGAGGUUCUACGCAUGCGCAGCUUCUGGACGCUGUGGGAGAUGUACUACUAGCGAGCGAGCGAGCAGCCGGGUCCGUGUGACUGAACGGAGGGAGGAGGCGAGAAGAGCCUGAGCUGGGCCUGGGCCGGGAGAGAGCGAAGCGUCGAGAACAGCUGCGGAGCUGAGGGGGCAGGCGGGGUGAGGGGGCAGGCGGGGCAGCCCGAGGCGGACCCUGGAUGCGCAGGGGGCUGUGCAGCGGGGACAGACGGAGACUGCCAGUGACCCCAUAGGAUGUUCCAGGCCUCCAUCUCUUGAACUGCUGAAUCUGGUCCUCAUGACAAUCAGCCUCAUGACUCCUACUAAACCGCUGAUCUGUGAGGGUAGAUGCUACAAAUAAGGUACCUUCGUAAGUGAGAGAAUGGAAAAAGUUGGAGAGCCACUAACAAUCAUUCCCUGUUGGUUGUUUUUCAAAGUGUUGAAUUCUGGUGACAACAGAGAUGGGCUUUUCAGACAAUAGUUUGAGAACCCUUGACAUAUUUGAAGGGCGGAAGCAUCAAGGAAGGAAAGGAAUCAUAUAGGAUAGUCUUGUGGGACAUAACUAGAUAUAAGGGGAAAGAGAAAUGGGUACAUUUUCAGGCAUAAUUUACUAACAAUGAGAUCAGUAUGUGGACUGGUCUCCUUUCUAAUUGCUGGUAACUGGACUCAGAGUCCCCACCCCUGUUCCACCUCUUCCCCCAAAGCCCUGCUCCCUUCUCUGCCUCUUCCCACAAGGCCCCGCCCCUGUUGCUCACUCCUCUUGCCUCCAUCCCCAUCACUUGCUGGAUCGUCUCAAGGAGCCUGCUUGCAAGUAGGAGGCAGCCCCAGCUGAACAGAGGCUGGCACAAGUUAAUGACCCAGCAUCUCCUUCUGCCCCAUAGUAAACAGAUUUUGGUUUGAGUGUCAUUUAGGGUUGCCAGGUCCCCUUUUUGACUGGACUUUCCAGUGAAAAAAUGUGCACUUGGCAACCCUAAAUGGUACACAGACACAGAAACCAUAAUGUGUAGCAAUGACGCGUAGCCAGAUGGGUAGCAAUGCUAUGAUCUCCCAAUGGAAUCCCAUUCUGUGAGACAGUUAAAAGAGCACUGCAUAAAACUCCUGAAUGCCCAUGAACAAUCUUACAUCACUGGAGGUGUAAUCAAGAUAGCCUGAUGGGUGGGUCUAUUCUCCCUCUCUCAUGUCUGUGAAAUGUGAUAAUGUCUGUGUGCGCCUUCCUCUUGUGUUCCUAAUACACUAAAUAAAUGUUACUAACACACAAAAACAACUAAUGCGCCAGUUUCUGAAACAAGAAACUUAAAAUUAAGAAAUCAGGUAUUCAGUGUAAUGUAUUUUCUCUUUAUUAUAAUUAAGCAUGCAUGUUAACAGUUGGAUAGCAGCAGGUGUGAGUGGGAAGGACACUAAACUAGGAUCAUGUGGGGAAAUUAGCAAGUGCAUACAUAAUAUAUUCACUCCAUUUGCAAUCUCUGAGAAUAUGGAGGUGUUUUAUUUUCCAAUGGUGUUUGAAAAGACUGUCAGAAAACUAUUAGGGUCUGUCAAUGGUUACCCUGUUCCUAGGUCACCACUUCCUGAUUUGCAGAGUUGCUGAGGUUGGCAGGAAACUUGUUUUAUAGUACUUUCUCCUAGCAGCCUCCCUUGAGAAGAGCCACCGGUGAACAUGUGACACAGCUACCAGGCUGUUGCAAAGCAUCAGGAUUACAAUUCAGUGUUUAAAGUAUGCUUCUCAUUAGCAUUGUCAUUAAAUGAUAAUCUCUUUAUAUCCCAGCACUUGACAUGGGGAACAGGAUAAUCAACGGGGUUGCGAUUCAAUGUUAGUUGUUUAGGAAUAGAACCUGGUAUUAUUAUUAUAAUUAUGAAUAACCUGUUGCAUUCCUGAAGCUUAAAAAGGUUUGCAUUUAUUCAAUAAACAGAAAAAGUAUGUAUGCUGAUAGACAUGGGUCUUCUAUGAAAAAGCUAGCAUUAAAAGGGCAAUCUAAUAAGAAAACUCUCAGCUGUUUCUUACCAUCUAAAUGUGGACCAGCUAAAGGCCAUAUGCGCAAUUUGCAUCCAUCUGGAUCAAGAUGGUGAAUUGUAUGACUGUACCAGUAAUCUACAGAGGCCACAAAGGCAAGCGAAACCCACCUUACCGAUUCCAGUGAGCUAUAUUUUGGCCACCUCUGAGUCAAAUAGUUAGGAAUUAAACUCAGGCCCACAUUUUUCAGAAAACAGCAUAUGGUAUUGUAUGCACAAAAAAUGUGCUCAACUGCAUAUCUAAUUUAUGCAUAUAAUUAAUUACAUCAACUGCAAGUGCAAAUGACAAGCUGUGGUGUGUGUAAAUAGUUGUACACACAAAUGAGGUGCAUAGAUGUGCAUCUGUUUUCUGGACAUUUGGAUUUCAGCUUCUACAUGUUAGUAUAUAUUGAUUAAAGCAAGGCUGAGAGUCAGCCUGCUAGGUUCUUGCCCCAGCUCAGCCACUGUCGGACCACGUGACCUUGGGAAAACUGUUUCACUUUGCUGUGCUUAAUUUCCUCCCUCUGUAAAAUGAAUUGAAUUACUUACAUAGUUAAUAAGGGUGUCAAGAAGUUUAAUGUUUCUAAACUGCUGAGAUCCUCAGGUUAAAGGUGCUAUGAAAGUAGUAUUCAUGCAAUUGUAUUCCUUAAUGAUAUCAGAAGAUAUUUUUGAAAUUGCAAUAUUUAAAAUUUUAGGGUUGUACUUAGUUAAAAGAAACACCUGUUAACUUCCACAGCACAAU
Long non-coding RNA from Mauremys mutica (yellowpond turtle), 2875 nucleotides. RefSeq lists it as uncharacterized. Lineage: Eukaryota; Metazoa; Chordata; Testudines; Geoemydidae. The transcript has 3 exons. The record is from RefSeq and is a predicted model, not a curated record.